UUAGUGGAUCACCAAAAGUCAUAGUCAACUUGAAGGUGUGUAACAGAAAUCCCGGAAACAACUUCCACACAAAGCCUGCAUCUCUAUCUAUGCCAACAUCCCAUAUUAAAGGGGGCUCAGGUAAGUGAAUCCAGUUACAUCUAACAGCAAAAUUAUUAUCUAAUAAUUUUAAAAGUGCCCAGUGUCACUUAUGUAUGCCAAACUCAAAUCUCAGGAUGGCUGCUAUCUGAAAUACUAUAGGUGACCACUAGCCCUAUAUUCUGUUCACAGGUAAAUAAUAUGCCCUUAUCUAUUCCCUCUGAUAUAAUUACUAAGCACAUAUUUAGGAAGAAGAGGAUAGUUUGUAGGCAUUAGUCUCCCCUUCCCAUCUAGCCCCUGCCGCCAUGGAAAAGAUUCUCAUCUUUCAAAAGGCGCCAGAUGCAACACUGGCUCGGUUGAUUGCUACGCCCGUCUCUAAUGGAAAGUAUUGAAAGUCAUCACAACAUCUCAAUUCAAAUUGGAAGUUUGCCCUUCAGAUGGUGAUGUCGUGCUAAAGCGAAAGGGGCCAUUUAGAAACGGAAUUAAAAAGGAAGAUGGACACUCUUGUUAGCAUUCUUUCAGAGUCGGAGGCCUGUGUUUGCUUUUUCCACUUGUGCGGGUGUGCAAUUUAAAAAACCAAUUAGGACAUUUGUGCAUUUGAAACAGAGCUUCCCAGGGGGACACUGCAGGAGGAAACAGACUAAAGAAGAGGCAACUUUGAAAAAGAGAGGCAGCGGAAGAGGAGCCCCAGAUGGCACAGCGGACUAAACUGCUGAGCUGCUGAACUUGCUGACUGAAAGGUUGAUGGUUCAAAUCUGGAGAACAGGGUGAGCUCCUGCUGUUAGCCCCAGCUUCUGCCAAUCUAGCAGUUCAAAAACAUGCAAAUGUGAGUAGAUCAAUAGGUACCACUCAGGCAGGAAGGUAAUGGCACUCCAUGCAGUCAUGCUGGCCACAUGACCUUGGGGGCAUCUAUGGACAAUGCCGUCUCUUUGACUUAGAAAUGGAGAUGAGCACCAACCCCCAGAGUCAGACAUGACUAGACUUAAUGUCAGGGGAAAACCUUUACCUUUACCUUAUGAGCUUGUUUAACUACUUAUCUUUCAGUCACAGCUGGUGCCUCUUACAUCAAUGAGGCUGUGAAUCUACUCUUAAGUUUUAGUCUGAACCU
RNAcentral lists this long non-coding RNA (1186 nucleotides) under Anolis carolinensis (green anole). RNAcentral describes it as "lncRNA (ENSACAG00000041751.1)". The record is from RNAcentral. Lineage: Eukaryota; Metazoa; Chordata; Lepidosauria; Squamata; Anolidae.